RNAcentral lists this ribosomal RNA (2922 nucleotides) under Toxocara canis (dog roundworm). Its description in RNAcentral is "eukaryotic LSU rRNA". The stretch from base 4 to 2520 matches the Rfam family "Eukaryotic large subunit ribosomal RNA". The record is from RNAcentral. Lineage: Eukaryota; Metazoa; Nematoda; Chromadorea; Rhabditida; Toxocaridae.
UUUUGACCUCAGCUCAGUGGUGACCACCCGCUGAAUUUAACCAUAUAACCAAGCGGAGGAAAAGAAACAACAUGGAUUGCUCUAGUAACGGCGAGUGAAUGGGCAAAAGCCCAGCGCUGAUUCUGUUGGCCACUGGUCGCCUGGAAUUGCAGCGGAUAGGUGAGCCUGUCCGUUCGUUCCACGCACCCAAAGUCCCCUUGAGUGGGUCUAUAGUCCAAAGAAGGUGCUACAUCUGUACGGGUGGCGAGACGAUCGGUUGGUUGCUCCUUGGACUCGGGUUGCCUGGGAUCGCUGCCCAAAGUUGGUGGUAGACCUCAUCUAAGAUUUUGACUUCCUCGACGAGGGCAAAGCCGACGGUAACUGUUGGGCAUUUGAUCGGUGUAUUUGCGGCUGGUAUAUGCCGAGAGCUUUGCAGUCGCAUGUUGACAAUCGUGCAGUGGACCAUUCUUUCCGGGCGUGGAACCUUUCGUGCUUUGAGACAUGUCGGCUGUAAGGUUUUGGACGUGGCUUCUCCGCUAUGGUGCGUCAGGUUUUUCGAGCUGUUGUGGCUGCAGGAUGGUCGCGUCCGACUGUCUAUAGUCGUCGAUGGCGCGACAAGAGUGUGGACGCGGCGAGAAGUGCAUCUCGGUGUGAACGUCGACCACCUAUCCGACCCAUCUUGAAACACGGGUCAAGGAGCCUAGCAUAUGCGCGAGUCAUUGGGUGAUAAACCUAAAGGCGUAAUGAAAGUGAAAGUCGCCUCGACGCGACCAGUAUGGGAUCCAUGCGGUUUCUGUGGCCGCACUGCGCACCAUAGCCCCGUUCCCGUUGCUUGCAGUAAGGCGAAGGUAGAGCGCAUACGCUGGGACCCGAAAGAUGGUGAACUAUGCCUGAGCAGGAUGAAGCCAGAGGAAAUUCUGGUGGAAGUCCGAAGCGGUUCUGACGUGCAAAUCGAUCGUCUGACUUGGUUACAGUGGCGGAAGACUAAUCGAACCAUCUAGUAGCUGGUUUUCUCCGAAGUUUCCCCCAGGAUAGCUGGAGUUCGUGUGGUGCAGUUAUAUUCGGUAAGGUGGAUGAUUAGAGGAAUUGGGAACGAAACGACCUCAACCUUCUCAAACUUCCAAAGGGUAUGAAGUCCCGCUUGCUUAACGUUGCUGAAGCGUAGGCAUUGAAUGAGAGCUCCAAGUGGGCCAUUUUUGGUAAGCAGAAAUGGCGCUGUGGGAUGAACCAGACGUCGGGUUAAAGUGCCAAACUUGCCGCUCAUGAGACCCCAUGAAGGCAUUGGUUGAUAUAGACAGCAGGAAGGUGGCCAUGGAAGUCGGAACCCGCUAAGGGGUGUGUAACAGCUCACCUGCCGAAUCAACUAGCCCUGAAAAUGGAUGGCACUUGAGCGGGAGACUUAUGCCCGACCGUUGUUUGGCUUGUGUGUUUUUCGUACGAGAGAUUCGCCUGGCCGCAACGAGUAAGACGGUCGCAAUGGUCUGCGUUGAAGGCCUUGGGCGUAGGCCCGACUGGAGCUUCCACUGUGCAGAUUUUGGUGGUAGCAGCAAAUAUUUAAGUGAGAUCCUUGAAGACUGAAGUGGAGAAGAGUUCCACGUGAACAGCAGCUGAAUUUGGGUCAGUCGGCCCUAAGAAACUGGCUAAUGCCAUCUGUUAACGAGAGACGGAGUUCAAAUCCAUCUCGUCUAUCGAAAGGGAUACGGGUUAAUAUUCCCGUACCUGGACAUGGUGAUAAGCGCUCAUUGCGAGUGUUUAACGCGGCAACGCAAACGAACUCGAUAACGCUGAAUACAGCCCGAGCUAGAGUUCUCUUUUCUAGUUAAGGAACGAAUUCCCUGAAAUCGAUUCAGCCGAGAUAGGGAUGUUGUUUCCGUAAAGCGCCACGGUUCGUGUGGUGUCUCGUGCGCUCUAUUCGGCCCUUGGAAAACCGAGGGAGGCUAUUUGAAUUUCGUGCCAGGGCGUACCAAUAUCCGCAGCAGAUCUUCACGGGAACAGCCUCUGGUCGACAGAAUAAUGUAGGCAAGGGAAGUCGGCAAAUUAAAUCCGUAACUUCGGGAAAAGGAUUGGGUCUAAGGACUGGGCCGGUCGGGAUGCAGCGUGAAGUGAGCUCAGUUUGAUCCAUGCAGUGCAACGCUCGGCAACGGGUGGCGCUCGGCUAGCAUUCGAACUGUCUCGUGGACCGUUGCAACUGCGUGCCGCGUCCUCGCGGGCUUGGUGCUUCGGCCGGCACUAAACAGUCGACUUGGAACUGGCACGGACUCGGGGAAUCCGACUGUCUAAUUAAAAUAGAGGAGACAGAUGGCCGUUGCGGGCGUUGACUGUCUCUAAUUUCUGCCCAGUGCUCUGAAUUUAAAGUGAAGGAAUCCAACCAAGCGCGGGUAUGGAAACUGUUCAAGACCUGCGAACAGGCUAAUAGUGUCCAUAGUGAGCAACGGCGAACCUGGAACCGUAUGCCCCAGGCAGUCGUCAGUGGCGAGUGAUUUGCGCAUUCCCGAUAGCAGUCCUCAUGUAAGGCUAGCGAGGCAGGCCAGUCGCACGCGUGCAUUUCGUCACGCCGAAAACGAGGCAACCGGAGAAUAACGUCCCCCAACCCCGAAAGGGGGGCAUAACUAUCUUCUCCAAAAGAAAAGCAGAAGCGCUUUGACACCUGUGUGUGAAAGCGCAAGCAGGGGAGGUAAAUUAUUUCGCCAAGGGUCCGGUGGACUCGUGAUGGAGAUGGGAUCACAGAGGGAUCUCCUGACUUGUAGUCAGUACCCCACAUGGGGAUUGGUCAAUCCAAUGAGCAGUGACGCGCAUGAGGGGACCGGCAAGUUUACUCACUUCUGGCUCGCCACCGGUAAGGGGACCUCGUCCAACCCCUUAUUCGGCACAGAACCAGCCUCCUCGUGGUGGUCCCUGGAAACUGUCCAGAACUUUUCUAACAGGGCCAACCUCAUCCUGGAG